This 26-nucleotide unclassified non-coding RNA is filed under the name Pyrococcus furiosus. RNAcentral's name for it is "RNA (26-MER) from Pyrococcus furiosus (PDB 6TPH, chain B)". RNAcentral also lists the same sequence under 1 other name. Lineage: Archaea; Methanobacteriati; Methanobacteriota; Thermococci; Thermococcales; Thermococcaceae. The record is from RNAcentral.
GCUGAGCUCGAAAGAGCAAUGAUGUC